RNAcentral lists this transfer RNA (69 nucleotides) under Citrobacter freundii. RNAcentral describes it as "tRNA-Met". It matches the Rfam family "tRNA". From Rfam's summary of the family: Transfer RNA (tRNA) molecules are approximately 80 nucleotides in length. Their secondary structure includes four short double-helical elements and three loops (D, anti-codon, and T loops). Lineage: Bacteria; Pseudomonadati; Pseudomonadota; Gammaproteobacteria; Enterobacterales; Enterobacteriaceae. The record is from RNAcentral. RNAcentral also lists the same sequence under 16 other names.
CGGGGUGGAGCAGCCUGGUAGCUCGUCGGGCUCAUAACCCGAAGGUCGUCGGUUCAAAUCCGGCCCCCG